UACGAAGGGGGCUAGCGUUGCUCGGAAUCACUGGGCGUAAAGCGCACGUAGGCGGCUUGUUAAGUCAGGGGUGAAAUCCUGGAGCUCAACUCCAGAACUGCCUUCGAUACUGAGAGUCUCGAGUCCGGGAGAGGUGAGUGGAACUGCGAGUGUAGAGGUGAAAUUCGUAGAUAUUCGCAAGAACACCAGUGGCGAAGGCGGCUCACUGGCCCGGUACUGACGCUGAGGUGCGAAAGCGUGGGGAGCAAACAGG
Molecule: ribosomal RNA, 253 nt
Filed under: uncultured bacterium
Lineage: Bacteria
Description: partial 16S ribosomal RNA
Rfam family: Bacterial small subunit ribosomal RNA
Source: RNAcentral